AAGGGUUUUCGGGUAGGGGGAACUGCGGAGGACAUUAUCGAACUAUAAGCGGAGGUUGUCGCUGGCUCCCCGGAGGGCAUGUGCCGCCCGAGCUCUUAAUCCACUUACACCAGUGAACUCUUUGUGGGGAAACCGUCCGUCCUCCGUGGGGGGCGGAGGGGAUUCUCAUGUAUUAUUCCACAUACGCAUGUCUUCAGAAUGUCUUGAUGUUGCUCCAACGCAAUCAUAUAUAUAUACAACUUUCAACAACGGAUCUCUUGGCUCUCGCAUCGAUGAAAAACGCAGCGAAAUGCGAUAAGUAAUGUGAAUUGCAGAUUUUCAGUGAAUCAUCGAAUCUUUGAACGCACCUUGCCUCCUUGGUAUUCCGAGGAGAUGCCUGUUUGAGUGUCAUUAAAUUCUCAACUUCACCGAUUUGAUUCGAGUGGAAGCUUGGAGUUUGGAAUGUGCUGGCCCUCGCUGGGGUCGGCUCCUCUUUAAAUGCAGCAGCGGAGUCAUCUUUUGACCUUGCGCAUUGGGGUGAUAUCAUUUUUGCCCUUGGCCUCAAGGUUUGGUCCCUUACAAAUGGUUUAUUGGAAAAUGAAAUGGUUGACCUCAAUCAGGUAGGAUUACCCCCUAACUUAAGCUUAUCAUUAAC
This 634-nucleotide ribosomal RNA is filed under the name uncultured Byssocorticium. RNAcentral's name for it is "eukaryotic LSU rRNA". The stretch from base 238 to 390 matches the Rfam family "5.8S ribosomal RNA". Lineage: Eukaryota; Fungi; Basidiomycota; Agaricomycetes; Atheliales; Atheliaceae. The record is from RNAcentral.